This is a long non-coding RNA of Melanotaenia boesemani (Boeseman's rainbowfish), 1256 nucleotides long. RefSeq lists it as uncharacterized. The record is from RefSeq and is a predicted model, not a curated record. NCBI's taxonomy places the organism in Eukaryota, Metazoa, Chordata, Actinopteri, Atheriniformes, Melanotaeniidae. The transcript is spliced from 7 exons.
UGAUGUAGUUAGUGGUUGGUGUACUGGUGCGUACACUCAGAUCUGCAAGACCCUUAAAGACUGUUAGUUUUAUUUACUGGUGGAGACUCAAUUGCGUGCACCAGAAACAGCAAAAAGUCUCCAUAGAGGAUCCUGUUGGGGAAGCCCUUUCUGCAGAUCCUGAUGCCUUCCAGCACACCGUUACAGCGUAGCUGGUGCAUCACCAGAGGGUUCUCCAUGGCCCCAGGAGUCUUGGUCUCAUUGGGGAUGAUGCAGCGCACAAAGUGAGGGCUGUGAAGCUCUGUGUGGACUCAAACCCUGAUUUCUGCUUGUCUUAUAAAGAGCCAGGACAUCAUGAAAUUACUGAAAGGUCUCUUCUGGUGUGCACUUGCAUACCAUAACUCAGGCCAAGCCUGUAUUUGUUCUGUGGUCCAAAAAGCCCUCCCUUGUCUGGCUGUGAAGAUGCUUGCUACUGGAGAAAGACUGGCUACAACUGAUGUGAAGUCUCCAUAGAGGAUCCUGUUGGGGAAGCCCUUUCUGCAGAUCCUGAUGCCUUCCAGCACACCGUUACAGCGUAGCUGGUGCAUCACCAGAGGGUUCUCCAUGGCCCCAGGAGUCUUGGUCUCAUUGGGGAUGAUGCAGCGCACAAAGUGAGGACAUUGAAAAACUUUAGAAGGACGAAGUCAUGUGAGAUGAAGGUCAGCACUUGGUGCCAGCUGACAUCCACCCUCCACCUCACUCCUUCAAACAGUGCAGGAGCUUGUGCCUCAUUCCUUCCUUGGUGCUGCUGCAGAUGCAUGAAAUACGAAUUACUUUGCAGACAAAGAGGACUACAGCACAGGGGAUCCCAAAGGUCUUAGAUGGCCGUCACUCAGUUUCACUCCUCAUCUAGCCCUUUCUGUGAUGAAGAAUGAUAAAAGAGUAGACAGUGAGAGAUGGAUUAGUGACAGAGGACUCAACAAGACUCAACAAAUGUUACAUAGAAUAAUCCAAAAGGCAUAAGUUAUGUUCUGACUGUGAGGCAAAUAUUAAUUGCAUUGCAGUCAUGACUUUCUCUACUGCUGCUUUGGUAUGUGGGUUAAUGACACAAUGUUUUAAAACUGGAAAAAAAAUAUGGAAAUUAGUUUAGCUAGAUUAUUUAAAACCAUGUAGUUAAAGAGGCAAGUUCAUUGUCACAUUAGUUUUUGACACUGAAAUUAAUUUUCUUGAGCCUUCUCAUUACAUCACUCUUAUCUAUAUUAUCAAAAAUAUGGGUAAGUAUAGCUUAACUUGGCAUG